CAGGUCCUCUUCAGUCCAGCUGCUGUCCAUGCAGCCUUUCUGAGCUCUGAUUGGCUUACUGUCAGGGCUGACCAAUCACAGUGCUCUGUUUUUGAACGCUGUGCAUGUGCACACAGUGUGCACGUGCUGCCCAGUGUGGUGGUAACAGAACACUGACCCACACCCCUCGGGUAUAAAGCAGAACUUCCUCAUUGCCCUGCAGAACCAUCCAGACUCUAACAAACUGUUCAGAUUGGUCUGAUUAAUCUUCCUCCUGCUGUUACCUUCCACUUUAAGAAAACAUCUUCAUCACUCUCCGUCCAGUCGGUAUCAUGGUUCUGUCCUCAGCCAACAAGCCCAGGAUGUUCCAGCUUCUCUUCUCUGACCCAACCCGAACUUUCUACAGCAGUGGGGACAAACUGUCUGGUUGGGUCCAGCUGGAGGCGGGCUCCCCUUGCAGGCUAACUGGCCUCAGGGUCACUGCCGCUGGGUGUGCUCGCGUAGAGAGCCGGAGUCGCAGACAGGAGGUGGAGUACCUGAAGUAUGAGGAAGAGGUUCGGCUGGAAGAGGUUCUGAGCACAGGUGAUGUGGUUGCUGCAGCUGGACCACUGGGUCUGGUCCAUCAGGACCUGCUGGGUCCACUGAAAUAUACUAAACCAGGCCCUGAUGGCUGCUUCCUGCUUCCUGCUGGGAAAUCCUUCAGCUUCCAGUUCGGCUUCGAGCUUCCUCCUUCAGGGCGCCUAGUAUCAUCCUUCAAAGGGAAGUUUGGGUCUGUCCGGUAUUACGUGAGGGCGGAGCUGCAGCGACCUUACCAGCAUGCUUUGCAGUGCGAGCGGGAGUUUGAAGUAGAAGAGCCGCUGGAUGUAAACCAACCCGACCUGCUGGCUCCCGCUGCAGCCUCCAAACAGAAGAAGGUCACCUGCAUGUUCAUCCCUGACGGCCAAGUAUCCAUCACAGCUCAGAUCGACAGGAAGGGGUUCUGCGAGGGUGAAGACAUCAACAUCAAUGCUAAGUUCGAGAACUCCUGCUCCCGAAUUGUGGUGCCAAAGGCCGCCAUCAUCGCCAAACACUCGUACAUCAUCAACAGCCACACCAAGGUUCUGCGUCAGAAACUGACGGCGGUUCGAGGAAACCCUAUCAUCUCGGGCAUGUGUGACAUGUGGCAAGGGAGGACCAUCAGAGUCCCUAAACUGAGGCCCACACUGCUCGGCUGUGACAUCAUCAAGGUGGACUACACCCUCAUGAUCUACCUGCACAUUCCUGGCAGUGAGAAGCUGAUCCUGGAACUGCCUCUGGUCAUUGGAACUACCCAGUUCAGUGGGGUCGGCAGCAGAACCAGCAGCAUGAGCAGCCAGGCCUCUAGCAGCUGGGCCUCCAUCCCCUCACCCCCCCCCAGCUACAGCAACAUCCACAGGGACUUGAGGGUGAAUGGCCUCUGCACGCCGCUGCUCCAUGAUUACGACGGUGCUGAGGAUGAUGAUGAUGAUGACGGAGGGCUCUUUAUGAGAGUUCCUGAAGGGUGCUACCCUCCUCCCCCUGCCUACAGCAAGGUUGAUCAAGAACCCAUUGACCCUCGACAGGCUGUUCCAGUCUUUUGAGCAAAGAAAGAAGGAGGUCACUGUCCCUUUAAGACUGUAGAAGAUCCCUUCCUGCUGCCAUGAGGGGGCAGACAAUGGGUGUGGAGAAAAGGAAUCUGAGCCAGAGAUUUCCCCAGAUGAGACGGUGUCUCUAAUCACGUCGAGUAAAGCGGUUUCCCCCUUGCGAGUAAGACGACAACGUAAGAAGCACCAGCAUCACACGCCUUCCUGUCUGCCAGUCUGGGUAGGAGGAGCUACCCCCCAGCUGCUACUGAGAGCUGCGCCACGGUUCUUUGAUCACCUUCGCUACUCAACUCAUUGAGGUUGGACCUCCUGUUCUUCAGAACAGUUCAUGUAAGAGGUGGUGUCUGGGCAGAGACAAUUAGUUUAAGAUGAACUAAUCUAGACCUUAUUUAUUUUAUGGUGGUUUGCUUUGUUUUUGGUGGUGGCUACCUGGUGAAGCUAAUAGGAACUCUAAGCCUUGAGGCUAGUCGAUUUGUCUGUGUUUUGUUGUAAAGUUACGCCAAACUUUAUUUUAAUGAGUGGUUUAAACAUAGAUCUGCCAUAACGCACCUGCUGGUGUUCAUAUACAUCUUAAUAUUAGUAUAAAUGGUAUUUAAACCCAUAUGAAACUAAAAGGGUUGGCAAAUAAACUACUUUCCUUUGAUAGCCAAAACCGCUAAUGCUAGUGCCAUCAAAGUCAAAUAUUUACAUCUGACUCUUGAUGGUCCACAGACGUUCCUCUCCGCCAUUUUAGUAGUCCAUUACUCCAAGUGAUGGUUAGUUAAAAUCAUCAUUUAUUUUGAAAAAUUAUAUUUUUCAAAAUGUUAUUUUACUAAAAUAUUGUUUUAUGUAUGCUUCUGAUUUUGCAUUGUGACUUUAUUGUUUUGAAGACGUACCAACUGUUGUCAUUGAUUAGUUUUAAAACUAAUUUCUUGGUUUCUUGGUUUUUUAAACAUAAAAAUCCACAUUUAACUGUCAUAUCACUGAAUGAUUACAGUGGUUCCAUUGUUUGUAUUAGUUUUCUUUAUUCUUUGAUUCUGCUUGGUAGUUUUAGUUGAAUUGUACUAGCUUUGUUCAUUUAAAUAUUUUUACUUGGAGUUGAAUUGUUUUUGUUAAUAAAGUCCUACAUUUUAAGGA
Molecule: RNA transcript, 2696 nt
Organism: Girardinichthys multiradiatus
Lineage: Eukaryota; Metazoa; Chordata; Actinopteri; Cyprinodontiformes; Goodeidae
Gene name: thioredoxin-interacting protein-like
Exons: 8
Source: RefSeq, a predicted model, not a curated record